This 253-nucleotide ribosomal RNA is filed under the name uncultured bacterium. RNAcentral describes it as "partial 16S ribosomal RNA". It matches the Rfam family "Bacterial small subunit ribosomal RNA", at positions 524 to 776 of the family's 1533-position model. The record is from RNAcentral.
UACAGAGGGGGCAAGCGUUGUUCGGAAUUACUGGGCGUAAAGGGCUCGUAGGCGGCCAACUAAGUCAUACGUGAAAUCCCUCAGCUUAACUGGGGAACUGCGUGUGAUACUGGAUGGCUUGGAUUUGGGAGAGAGAUGCGGAAUUCCAGGUGUAGCGGUGAAAUGCGUAGAUAUCUGGAGGAACACCGGUGGCGAAGGCGGCAUCCUGGACCAAUAUUGACGCUGAGGAGCGAAAGCUAGGGGAGCAAACGGG